RNAcentral lists this ribosomal RNA (253 nucleotides) under uncultured bacterium. Its description in RNAcentral is "partial 16S ribosomal RNA". It matches the Rfam family "Bacterial small subunit ribosomal RNA", at positions 524 to 776 of the family's 1533-position model. The record is from RNAcentral.
GACGGAGGAUGCAAGCGUUAUCCGGAAUGAUUGGGCGUAAAGCGUCCGCAGGUGGCAGUUCAAGUCUGCUGUCAAAGACCGGGGCUUAACUUCGGAAAGGCAGUGGAAACUGAACAGCUAGAGUAUGGUAGGGGCAGAGGGAAUUCCGGGUGUAGCGGUGAAAUGCGUAGAGAUCAGGAAGAACAUCGGUGGCGAAGGCGAUCUGCUGGACCAUAACUGACACUCAGGGACGAAAGCGAGGGGAGCGAAUGGG